Molecule: ribosomal RNA, 482 nt
Filed under: uncultured bacterium
Lineage: Bacteria
Description: partial 16S ribosomal RNA
Rfam family: Bacterial small subunit ribosomal RNA
Source: RNAcentral
AUUGAACGCUGGCGGCAUGCUUUACACAUGCAAGUCGAACGGUAACAGGCCGCAAGGUGCUGACGAGUGGCGAACGGGUGAGUAAUGCAUCGGAACGUGCCCAGUCGUGGGGGAUAACUACUCGUAAGAGUAGCUAAUACCGCCUACGAUCUAUGGAUGAAAGCGGGGGACCGUAAGGCCUCGCGCGAUUUGCGCGGCCGAUGUCAGAUUAGGUAGUUGGUGGGGUAAAGGCUCACAAAGCCAACGAUCUGUAGCUGGUCUGAGAGGACGACCAGCCACACUGGGACUGAGACACGGCCCAGACUCCUACGGGAGGCAGCAGUGGGGAAUUUUGGACAAUGGGCGCAAGCCUGAUCCAGCAAUGCCGCGUGCAGGAAGAAGGCCUUCGGGUUGUAAACUGCUUUUGUACGGAACGAAACGGCUCUGGUUAAUACCCGGGGCUAAUGACGGUACCGUAAGAAUAAGCACCGGCUAACUACGUG